CCUCAUGGUUCCUAGUCAGAUUCGUUUCUACUGUGCCGUGACAGGAACUCCCACAAGAAAUUUAUUUCUGAAUAAGAAGUAUGAUGGAGCUCUGUCUUCGUUUUUUUUCCCCAAAUGGUUCCUAAUUAUACCAAUUCCACUUAUUGAACUGUAGCUUUUAUACUAAAUCCUGGUAUAUAGUUAGGUGUAUAUCUGAACUCUGGAGAAUUUAAUUAGAGAAACUUUAUUGUGUCCUAAACCAGUAGUUUAGGAGAUCAGUGUUACUGUGGAUGCAGAUCCGUAAAGAUGUACCUAUAUUUCUCUACAACUAAUUAAUUUGGCCCUUGAUUGCCAUGUCCAUUAUGCAGCAGAACACUUAAUUCAGCCAAUUCAAGGUAUAUCCAUGUCCCACAGAUGAUCUAAACGCUGGGGGUUAGGAAUGGUAACAGCAUCUCUCUCAUACAGGCUUUGGUGAAGGGGGUGAAUUUGUCUGAUAACCGUCUUUAUAUUUUCUGUCAUCUAUAUCUGGCAUCUGGUAACUCAGUUUCCAGAUGAUUGUAUACUGGUAUCCGCUCAUGUCCCAGCAUCUGUGCCUUCAUUCCCCAUCCCUGGACCUCUCUCAGCUCACCUGAGUCCUUUUCAGUAGGAGGCCUGGAAGUCCCUGGCUGCUUUUCCUGCACCAGCUCAAAGUGCUGAGUGUCUAUGGAGCUGUGCUCAGGCCCAGCCACGUGGACAUCUCUUAGUAUUUGCCACUUCUCAGCUCUAGCCUAAUGUUGGAUAUGGGCUUCUCUAACAGGCUUUCAAUGUCUCUGCGCUGCACACUGAGAUGAGAGGCAGAAGUCUCCUGUGCUCUCGGGUCCUCCUAAAAAUGUAGCUACGAUUUCUUAGAGAUUCUCACUCCAGCAGCAUGGCCCCUUUCUUAGGAACACAUCAAUUACUCGUUGUCCUUCUAUCUUUUCCCAAUUAUCUUCUUUCCUCCCAUCUGUAACAUUUUCCUCUGAUUUUGGGGAGAGGGCAGUGGCUGUGGGGGAAGGGAAAAAAUGGCUUAAUCAUCACCCUGAACUUUCCAACUCCCUUGUUUAUAGUACAAACUUUGACUAUACUAUAAACUUUUUGUUCAGUCCAUUGGAUUCUGAUAUUCAAAGCCAAGCUUUGGUUCCAAAGAACCAAAACAACUUUUUGUCUCUCAAAAGCACAAUUCAUACAAAUCAAAAUAUUUUGACUCUUAAUAAGUUCAUUUCUGUUGCAAAUUUUAAGAGCCUGUUUUGGAGCUAGUGGCUAAGAAUAUGAUUCUUUGUUCUUGCUGAAUCAGGAAGAAUAAUGGGCACAAAGAAGGGGAGGCUGCAUGGGAAGAGAUUUUUUUUUAAUGUCUUAGAAAAUUAUCUGCCACACCAAGUCCUUAAUCUGGCCGGUAGACCCCUGCCUCCAUCUCUGUGAUCACUCCAUUGAUUGUGGGAUCUAUUUCAAUGAACUGCUCUCUGGUCCUUCCAGUUCAUUUCCUCUGCUCUUGCUUAGUUCCUACAGCCUUUUGAACUGGAGUCCUGCCCAGCUCCUUACCACAAACACUCCCAGAGACCAGAGUCUCAGAAUCUACUCCCUUUGGCUGGGCCAUCAUUUUAGUCACAGAGCUAUCUACCUCCCAAACUUUCACUUCUUCUCUGCUCUGGGAACCUCCUGAUAUAUAUUUCCAUCUGUCUCCUGUUGUAGCUGCUGGGUCUUCCCAGAUCAUCUCCCUGCAUCAGCCAACCCCUCUGCUUAACAGGAGAGUUAUAGAGUAUUCUAGUGUGGAAGCCAGGGGUUGGGGGCUGGGUGCAGGAUGCAGUGUGUGAGGAGAGCAGUGAAGAGAAUUACUGCAAGAAAGGCUGCAUGGACAGAAGGUGGAGUGCCAAGAACAAAGCAUCAUAAUGUUGCUUAAAAGGGAAAUGGGGAGGCUCUAGGAGAGGGAGAGAUACAGGUGACCCUGCUGGAGGACACAGCAAGAAGAUGGCCAUCUGUGAACCAGAGAGCAGGACUUGACCGGACACUGAAUCUGCUGGUGCCUUGAUCCUGGUCUUCCUAGCCUCCAGAACCGUGAGAAAUAAAUGGCUGUCAUUGAUAACACCA
Molecule: non-coding RNA, 2082 nt
Organism: Sus scrofa (pig)
Lineage: Eukaryota; Metazoa; Chordata; Mammalia; Artiodactyla; Suidae
Source: RefSeq, a predicted model, not a curated record